Mastomys coucha (southern multimammate mouse) is the source of this 689-nucleotide long non-coding RNA. RefSeq lists it as uncharacterized. The transcript has 3 exons. The record is from RefSeq and is a predicted model, not a curated record. NCBI's taxonomy places the organism in Eukaryota, Metazoa, Chordata, Mammalia, Rodentia, Muridae.
GUGGAUGGAACGCAAGGCUAGAGGGGGAGGGGACAGCUGAGGGAGGAGGAAGAGGAAUAAGAAAGGGGAUGGGUUGUAGUCACCGGUGCCAGGGACUCACAUAAGCUUGUUGCAAACCGGAGGCUGAAAGGAGGCCCGAUUCUCUUCUACCCAAGACUUCACUCUCACACAGCGCUCCAUGGCCGGCAGGCAGGACUCUUCUACCCACAACGUGGUCGCCAGGCUGCUGUCCAGCUAAUCAAACAACAAUUGGCUGUGAACAUAAGCCCACGAAUCCAGUAGUUACUCAGUCCACAAGGCUGGAUGUCUCAGCUGAUUUUCUGUAUAUUCUGGAGUCCCACAGAAGUAGGCUCUAUUCCACUGAAGGGAUGGAUGAUGUGCUAGAAAGGUCAAGUCUAGAAGAGGAUUCAUCCACUUCAAACAAGCAAAGUCAUCUCUCACAGGUGUUCCCUCCAUUUCUGGAUCAUUGCUCAUUCCAGAUGUCAUCAAGCUGACAAACGGGAACAGCCAUCACAAAGGGCGAGCGCAAGAUGGGUCAGCACGUGCAGACACUUGUUCCUGAGCUGACGACCUACAUUCCAUCCCUGGGACCCACAGUGAUGGAAGGUGAGGACUGACUCGUGACAAUUGUCUUCUCACCUCCAAACACACUCUGCGGGCCAAAAAUAAAAACAAAUUAGAUAAAUGUA